This 230-nucleotide ribosomal RNA is filed under the name Klebsiella grimontii. RNAcentral's name for it is "partial 23S ribosomal RNA". It matches the Rfam family "Bacterial large subunit ribosomal RNA", at positions 1422 to 1651 of the family's 2925-position model. The record is from RNAcentral. Lineage: Bacteria; Pseudomonadati; Pseudomonadota; Gammaproteobacteria; Enterobacterales; Enterobacteriaceae.
GAAACAGGUUAAUAUUCCUGUACUCGGUGUUACUGCGAAGGGGGGACGGAGAAGGCUAUGUUGGCCGGGCGACGGUUGUCCCGGUUUAAGCAUGUAGGCGGACGUUCCAGGUAAAUCCGGAACGUUACUAACGCUGAGGUGUGAUGACGAGGCACUACGGUGCUGAAGUGACAAAUGCCCUGCUUCCAGGAAAAGCCUCUAAGCAUCAGGUAACAUCAAAUCGUACCCCA